GACAAGGUUAAGAAAAUAAACAACAAAACACCUGGGAGGAGACAUGUAGAGUGCUUAAAGGGGCUGAGGGGCAUCAGGAUAGCCUUGUGCAGCUUCUCAGCCCAUGGAAACUAGUGGGAAUACACCUAAGAAACCUACAGAAAAAAAGAUUAAAAGACUACAAAACCAGGAAACCUUGCAGAUGAACAGCCAAGCUUUGGCAUCAAUGUUCAAAAUUCAGGAAAUGAAGAUUGAGAAAGCAAAUGAAAAGGAGAAUAAAGCUAGUAAAGUGAUUAAAAUGAAGAUUUGUAUACACUAAUGACUACUUUCAUGUGGACAACAGGAGGAGAGUUAGGCAAAUGCUGACCACAGCAGGAUACCACAGAUGGCAACCAACAUACUGCAGAUAAAAUCUAACACCAGCCUAGUAUAUUUGAAUGGAUCACGUAGAGAGUCUCCACACAAGGAAAAUAAAGGUAGGAUACAGAAACACAGCAGUGAAGAUGGAAGUAGAGUACCACAGACACGCAAAUGAAAGAGCACCACAGAUACA
RNAcentral lists this long non-coding RNA (532 nucleotides) under Gallus gallus (chicken). Lineage: Eukaryota; Metazoa; Chordata; Aves; Galliformes; Phasianidae. The record is from RNAcentral.